This 480-nucleotide ribosomal RNA is filed under the name uncultured bacterium. RNAcentral describes it as "partial 16S ribosomal RNA". It matches the Rfam family "Bacterial small subunit ribosomal RNA", at positions 28 to 507 of the family's 1533-position model. The record is from RNAcentral.
GACGAACGCUGGCGGCGUGCUUAACACAUGCAAGUUGAACGAGAAUUUUUCGAGUGGUUUCUUCGGAAUGAUCAUGAAAAAGGAAAGUAGCGAACGGGUGAGUAACACGUGAGAAACCUGCCUUUCACAAAGGGAUAGCCUCGGGAAACCGGGAUUAAUACCUUAUGAAACCAAACACUCGCAUGAGAGAUUGGUUAAAGAUUUAUCGGUGUUAGAUGGUCUCGCGUCUGAUUAGCUAGUUGGUGGGAUAAAAGCCUACCAAGGCAACGAUCAGUAGCCGGAUUGAGAGGUUGAACGGCCACACUGGAACUGAGACACGGUCCAGACUCCUACGGGAGGCAGCAGUGGGGAAUUUUGCACAAUGGAGGAAACUCUGAUGCAGCGACGCCGCGUGAGUGAUGAAGGUCUUCGGAUUGUAAAACUCUGUCCUUAGUGAAGAUAAUGACAGUAACUAAGAAGCAAGCCCUGGCUAAAUACGUG